This 76-nucleotide transfer RNA is filed under the name Phytoactinopolyspora halotolerans. RNAcentral describes it as "tRNA-Ala". It matches the Rfam family "tRNA". Rfam says of the family: Transfer RNA (tRNA) molecules are approximately 80 nucleotides in length. Their secondary structure includes four short double-helical elements and three loops (D, anti-codon, and T loops). RNAcentral also lists the same sequence under 1 other name. The record is from RNAcentral. Lineage: Bacteria; Bacillati; Actinomycetota; Actinomycetes; Jiangellales; Jiangellaceae.
GGGGCUGUGGCGCAGUUGGUAGCGCGCCUCGUUCGCAACGAGGAGGCCACGGGUUCGAAUCCCGUCAGCUCCACCA